CCAUCUCUCAUCAACCCAUUGCUUUCGCGUGUUCCUCUCCCUCUCUACCCACUCCCCCGUACCAUUCGUCACCCUCUGAUUUCGUGAAUUCUUCAUCCACAGCCUUCUUUUUCUCCACAUCAAUCUGAAACCCUAGCACUGUUUCUGUGUUUUCGUUCCUCUUUCCACCCACUCCUCACCAAUCCAUCAAUUCUGUCUUCUCCGAUUACACUGUUACGCUGAUUCGGUGGCUCCAUUCGUGGUCCAACACCUCCAACGAUCUACUGUUGCUUGCUCAUCCUUCUCUCUGUAUUCCAGAUUUCAUUACAGUUCCAAGGAGUAAAUCCUGCCUGAAUCAGGUGUGAAAAUUGAGUCUUCAAUCAAGAAAAAUCAUAUUAGAAAAUUCACAAGUGAAUUGCUUGAGGGCAAUGUAUACAAGACAAAGAUUGGUUUCUAUUUUUGGUGCUUGACUAACAAGGAGAAAGAAGAAAAGCUGGAUGGUGAUGCUGCUUUGAAUCAAUUCUUCUGUGAUAUUUAUCAAAAUGCAUAUGAGGACAAGCGAAGAGCAAUGAGCAAGUCAUUUCUGGAGUCAAAUGAAACAGUGCUGUCAACGGAUUGGAAAGAAGUGGGAUCGAAGAAGGUAGAAGGAAGUCCAUGUGGCUGAAGCUGCUGAAGUGCAGGCAAAAUUGUUGUUUUGGAGUGAUUAUCAAAACUACACCUUGCAGCUGAUCCUGGUGAGUACCCAAACAAUGUUUAUGAGUUUUCCUCUUUUUUCAACUGAGCUCUCAUCUGAUAAAUAUUGUUGUGAUUUUCAAGGUCUAUUAGUGAGGACUCUCUUAGAAGGUUUGUACAGUUUGCAAGUGAGUGUUGCAUACAUGAGUUAUUGGCAGAUUUAUACACAUACAAAGGAAUUUUUAAACACUUGUCAGCUAUAAACAACAAAUGCAUGUUCAGCAACUCUAACUGAACUGUUUGGAGUAAUUAUAAAUAGCUUACAUAAGGUUUGAAUCCCACCUCUCAUUUAGAAUUUUUCAGCUAUGAACCCUCUCUUCUCUUUUUCGUUUUUGUUUGACUACCUUAUUAAGCUUGAAUGUGCAUUCGCUUACAAAAAGAUCUCCAUAGAUAUGUUGCUUGAAUAAUAGUAAUUUUAAAUUUGAGCGGAUUGGCAGGAAAGUUUCAAUACUAAAUGGUGGAGAGAGGGUAAAUUCAUAAUCUAUAAUUUUUUAAGAUAUGUGACAUUCAAUUAGCCUCUGUAACUUAUAAGCAUCAUAAAAGGCUUUGAUUCUGAUGGUGUGUGACAAGAGUUGGCAGAUGUCGGCAAAAAGACUUCAUUUCUGGAAAAUUAGUUCAUAGUGAUUUGAAUACCAAAGUUUGAAUGUGCUGCUUUUUCAUAUAGAGAUGGUGUUUGACAUUGAGCAAGAUGUUUUGGUUUCUUAUAACAUGUCUCCUCCGUUUCUAGCUUCCUCUUCUUUUUUAUAUGAUUUUUUUUCAGGUCUUUCUCCGUUGAAGCCAUGGAUAUGAACUAGAUGUCUGUAAUAUAUCUGAAGAAGACUUUUUAUCUUUUCUCAUGUCCCUUUUAAGUUAUUUUCUUUUUUUUAUGUAAGAUGAGUAUCUAGAGCAUAAAUGAACAGUCAUGAGAACUAAAUAUAGGAGCUGCAAAUUUCCAUUCCUUGAAUGUAGGUUAUGAAACAUUAGCAUUUAAACAAUGCAUUUGUUUUUUCUACCAGUUGUUUUAUGCUAUUUGCAGCUCUGUUUUUCUCUCAACUCUUUUGAUUUGCUUAGUUCUCAUUUUUACAUGACUUUUAUAAUCAGAGAAAGAAGUGACUUUAACUUUUUCAAAAAACUAUGACAUUGGAAGAUCUUAGCUCUUUGAAAGAUAAUCAUUAACUUGACUUUGUGAUACAAGUCAUGACCAUUAGAGUGUAAUAGGCCUUUAGAACGGAUCAAUGCCGACAACUGAAAUGAAUGUUAAUAGUUCCAAUAUGAAUAUGUUAGUAGUUCUUAGUUAAGGAUAUCAAUAAAAUACUUUUCUUAUGCCUAAGAUAUAACUAAAAAUAAGAGGCUUAAUUAGGUAAUCUUUAACAAGUUUUCCUUCAUGAAUUUGAUGUAAGAGAUAGAUUUAUUAUCAUGGUUGAGAUUAAAGUUCUGCUUCCUUCAUAAAAUUCAUUAGCUUAGUUCUUCAAGUAAAAUAUCAGCUCAUUAUCAAGCAUCUAUUUAUUUGAGUUAAAAAAUUACCGUACAAGCUAUUUGUGGUGAAAGGAAUCCCUAUAAUAUUUUUAGUAGAUUUGGUGAGAUCGGUCUCUUCCUUCGUUGGUUAGUUUCGCUGGUUUUUAUUCUUUUCUAAUGUAAAGUUUCUAAAUUUCUAUUGUGAGGGAAUCAUGUUAUUGGUGCUGUUUGGUUUGUUAAUAUGUUGGUCAUAUUUUCAUUUAGGCCAAUGCUUCCACAAGGGGAUCUUUGCAUAAAGGUGGACAAAAAGUUUGUGUACUUUGGUAUUCAUCAAGUGAGUAGAUAUGAUAUAGGUGUGCAGAUUUGAGGCACUACUCUAUAAACUCCCUUCAUGUGCUGCUUUGAGGCACUACUCUCUAAACUCCCUCAAUCCUGCAACCAAUACAACCAUAGUUACAUGUUCUGCCACCCCCAGAGGCCAUUGGAAUUCAUUGGAAUGCAGAAAGUGGUGAAGAAAGAGUUAGACGAGGAUGUAUAUUGGUAAUCGACAAUAGCAAAUUCAUCUUCACUGACCUUUGUGAGUUAAAGGGGUGGUUUAGAUUUUUAAGAAUUUUUGUAUUACUGGUGGUUUAGAUUUCUAAGGAUUUUUUUAAGCUGUUAUCUUUGAUUAGUUGUAUUUUAAGUAGGUUAUAAGGAUGUUUAUGUAUCUGUAGUAUUAACAGAAUGAACUAUUGAGAAAUUUGGGUGUCUAUGUUUCAAAAAACUGAAGUAAAAGGAAUCAAGCAGAUAUAUUUAUCUA
Lotus japonicus is the source of this 2944-nucleotide long non-coding RNA. RefSeq lists it as uncharacterized. The record is from RefSeq and is a predicted model, not a curated record. Lineage: Eukaryota; Viridiplantae; Streptophyta; Magnoliopsida; Fabales; Fabaceae. The transcript has 6 exons.